CUGUCUCUUGCUUCAACAGUGUUUGAACGGAACAG
Molecule: non-coding RNA, 35 nt
Organism: Myotis brandtii (Brandt's bat)
Lineage: Eukaryota; Metazoa; Chordata; Mammalia; Chiroptera; Vespertilionidae
Source: Rfam